RNAcentral lists this non-coding RNA (26 nucleotides) under Homo sapiens (human). Lineage: Eukaryota; Metazoa; Chordata; Mammalia; Primates; Hominidae. The record is from RNAcentral.
UCAACUACUAUCAGGGGAUGCUGGAC